This 575-nucleotide long non-coding RNA is filed under the name Heterocephalus glaber (naked mole-rat). RNAcentral describes it as "lncRNA (ENSHGLG00000042556.1)". The record is from RNAcentral. Lineage: Eukaryota; Metazoa; Chordata; Mammalia; Rodentia; Bathyergidae.
CUCUAUUCACAUUUUCAGUCUAUUCAUGAGAUUGCAUUCUUUAUAUCCAUAUAUCUUCAAGAUGACUGUCUCGUGUCCUUGUAAUCUGACUCUGCUGUCAAGAAAGGUAUGUUUGGGGGAAACAACUGCAAGCUAACUCUUCAGGUUCACCCGAAGGCGACUAAUCAAACUGAGGUCCUAAGAUCAACAAGUCUCACUCACAAGCAAGGAGGCUAAGCAACAAAACCAUAAAUCUGAUGUCACCAAAAUCUUUAACAACACAAUCGCAUGGAUGAAAAUUGUAUUUUAUAGUGUUUGUUGUUCAGCCUUCACACCUUUUAUCAUUGAAUUGAUUCAUUAUGCUUGUACAAUAUGGUAUUAAUAUGUGUUAUAGAAAUAAGACUACAUUCUUUCCUUGAAGGGAAAGGAAAAAUUAUGAGAAAAGAAAAAAAAUGGAAAUGAAAUUUAUGUAAAUAGGGAAGGGUGGAGGGGGUGAAGGGCACAAAGGUAAUGGGGAAAAAAAUAAGAACCAAGAUACAUCAUGUACAGCUACAAGCAUCCAAUGAUAAAUAUAAAUGUAUUGUAUACCUAAAAUG